CGACCUGAAAUAAGGCAAGGCUACCCGCUGAACUUAAGCAUAUCAAUAAGCGGAGGAA
Molecule: ribosomal RNA, 58 nt
Filed under: Ulvales sp. 2-BER-2007
Lineage: Eukaryota; Viridiplantae; Chlorophyta; Ulvophyceae; Ulvales
Description: partial 28S large subunit ribosomal RNA
Rfam family: Eukaryotic large subunit ribosomal RNA
Source: RNAcentral